RNAcentral lists this ribosomal RNA (253 nucleotides) under uncultured bacterium. Its description in RNAcentral is "partial 16S ribosomal RNA". It matches the Rfam family "Bacterial small subunit ribosomal RNA", at positions 524 to 776 of the family's 1533-position model. The record is from RNAcentral.
UACGUAGGGACCGAGCGUUGUCCGGAUUCAUUGGGCGUAAAGAGCUCGUAGGCGGCCACUCAAGUCGAAUGUGAAACCUCGAGGCUCAACCUCGAGCCUGCAUUCGAUACUGCGUGGCUCGAGUACUGGAGAGGAGACUGGAAUUUACGGUGUAGCAGUGAAAUGCGUAGAUAUCGUAAGGAAGACCAGUGGCGAAGGCGAGUCUCUGGACAGUUACUGACGCUGAGGCACGAAGGCCAGGGGAGCAAACGGG